CGGGAAGCUUUUUGCCAGAAAUCCUACCUCCGGCCACCAUAGGUCGGAAUCUUUGGCUCAUCUUGUAGCCCUCAUCAAGGUGAGUAUUCCCUCAAAAGGAAUUAGUCUAUUUCGUUGUUGUUAUGGAGAAAUGUAUAAUUGAAGUUUUUAGGGAUUUAUGGAAGUUUUGAUUCAUUGGCCCUAGUUAGCCUUAGAAAUGGACUAAGUGCUAGUUAUGAAUGUUGUUGAGCAUGAUGAGAGAAAUAUUCUGUGAAAAUUUGAGAAGCAUUGGAGGUCGCCGGAAAACGGCUGCAGGCCGCCGCCACCGCCCCUUAGGGGCAGUUUUUCAUGCUUUUUGGGUUUAUUUUAAUGAGAGGAGUUUAAUGAAGUAUAGUUUGGAAUUUUUGGAGGAGAUUUGAUAAGGUUUAGGAUCUAUCUAUGAUUAAGGAUUUAGGCGGUUAUUCGAAUGGAAAUCCGGCAGUUGGUUUAGCAGGUUUUAAAGUCUAAAAAGGUUAAAUUAUGGCUUUCGGUAAGUGCGGAGUAAUGUGAACCUUAUUAGGUAAAAUGUGGAGAAGUUGGGCAAGAGAAAUGAAAUUAUAGGCUUCAUUUUUAUUUCAGGAAUUUUAUUAAAGUUUUGUCCUGGUUUGGAGGCUUAAUGAUUAUUUAUUGUUCAGGACGUGAGGAGGAUCAUUUGGAGGAAGCCUCGGGCCGUCGGCAAGCAUAGCCUAGCACGGUGAGUGGACCGUUGAUUUUAAUAUCAUGCAUGCGCUAAAGUUAUUUAAUUUCAAAGGCAUUUGGAGAUAUAAUAAUUUGUUGGAUUAUCGAGUUCCACUUAUUUUUUUCCGGAACUCUCUUGCUAAUUUUAGUUGACACGUGGGACGUGUCAAGUGUUUUAUAUUAUUUCCAUGUACAGUUGGGAACUGUACUGUGCGCUAUGAGUUUAUUAUAAUUUAUUUGGGGAAGUGUGGAUCUUUAUAUUUUAAUAUUGUACUUCACCAUAAAAGGGUUGAUAUAUAGAUUAUUGCUAGCUAACCUUAUUAGUGGUCCUCAUCAUAUGUGAGUCGCUAUUAUAGUCUUAUUAGCGGUUCUCAUCGUAUGUGAGUAGAGCGCUUAGCGUGGGACGCUAUUAUAGCCUGGGAGGCAACCGAUCGGUAUAGUAUAUAUAUAUAUAUAUAUAUUAUUGUUAGCUAGCCAUUAUUUAGCAGUCCUCAUCAUAUGAGAGUUGAGCGCUUAGCGUAGGACGCUAUUAUAACUUUUUAAGCGGUCCUCAUCAUAUGUGAGUAGAGCGCUUAGCGUGGGACGCUAUUAUAGCCUGGGAGGCUCAUUGUUAUGGUGAAACAUUUUCCCUAUUUUUAUUGAUUUAUUGGGAACCAAUGGGAUUGGUUCAUUAGUUUUAUCUAUAAUUAUUUUCGGAAAGAUUUCCAAGAAUGGUAUGCAUAAAAUAAAUAUUUUCUCAAUGGAAAAUAUGGGAAAAGCGUUAAAUUGAUUUCAAUGCUCUAUCAUUAAGUCCGUAUUUUUAUUAUUUAUUUUGUCCACUCACUCUAACGUUUUAAAUUCUUUCCCCUGGGCCUUUCGUUUUAAAUGCCCAGUCUGCAGAGUUCUGUUCGGCGAGGGUAGGAGGCGAGUCAUAUUUCCCACCUCAUCCAGUUUUC
This 1631-nucleotide long non-coding RNA is filed under the name Fragaria vesca (wild strawberry). RNAcentral's name for it is "long non-coding RNA (FVES_LNC002024)". The record is from RNAcentral. Lineage: Eukaryota; Viridiplantae; Streptophyta; Magnoliopsida; Rosales; Rosaceae.